AAAAGUCUCCAUCUUGGUCUAACACCCAAAAAUGGUGCACACCCACACUACACGGGCAUGCGCUAGUCAAUGACAAAUCAGAAAUAAUUAACUGCCCACCUGGGCUGUCCUAAGCCAAGCUAGAGCCAACCAUUGGAUUUGUGAGACACAGGAAGUGAGGUAGGGAACAGCCUCUGGAAUUCGCGGAACUUCCUGUGGAGAGAGCUAGAGGGGAGUUGGUGUUAGGAGCUUGGAGAGAGAGGACGCCCGCAGACAGCUUUCCUUCAGAUCGGUCACAUAUAGAUAUAAUGCCAAUCUAGAUAUCAUGAAGAAUCCUACAAUCAGAAAGAAGAAUAACAAAUGGAGGAAUAUACAAGUCAAAAGUAAAAAAGAUCCAUGAAAGGGUUUCAACCAAAUGAACCAUUUUUGGCUCCAUAGAUCCCAGAAGAACAAGAUGAUCCAUAGGAAAUGCCUUCCAAUGUGGAAAUUCAGAUGAAUAUAUUUUUUUCUGGAACACUGAGAGAUAAAAGAAAACGUGUUGUCAUAAAACAAAGAAAGAAAAAGGAAAGGAAGAAAAAAGAAAAUAAAGGAAGGAAGAAGGAAAUAAAGGAGAAUAAUGAUUAUUAGCCUGGAUCAGCAUUCACACCUUAUCUAGAAAAGAGGAAUCCCUUCCCUUUCCAUUUAUGAUACUCUCACAAAGGAUAUGAGAUACAAGUUUUAGAAAUAUUGUUUUCCUGAAGCUUAUGUUCAAGUCCAAUUAAAAAUUAGAUACUUGCUAUUUCCACUAGUGUUUGAUGUGGAGACUACUGAUGGAACUAUUCAACUGAAUGCAAUUCAAGAAACAUUAAGCAUUCUAUUUGAAAGGGAAAUAAAAACAAAAAUGAAAUAUUACCUUCUCUCAGAGAACUUAGCAUUCUAUUGAGAAGAUGUAACAUACACAAGAACAAAUAUAAAAUAUAAACAAAGGGGGACAUUGAAUGGUACAGUGGAAAGAGUACUACAUUUUGAAUCAGUGGUCCUCUGUUCAAAUCCUGCCUCUGCCAUUUACUAUUUGGGUGAUCUUUGGUAAGUGAUUUAACCUUCU
Monodelphis domestica (gray short-tailed opossum) is the source of this 1063-nucleotide long non-coding RNA. RefSeq lists it as uncharacterized. Lineage: Eukaryota; Metazoa; Chordata; Mammalia; Didelphimorphia; Didelphidae. The record is from RefSeq and is a predicted model, not a curated record.